Molecule: long non-coding RNA, 3070 nt
Organism: Eriocheir sinensis (Chinese mitten crab)
Lineage: Eukaryota; Metazoa; Arthropoda; Malacostraca; Decapoda; Varunidae
Exons: 4
Source: RefSeq, a predicted model, not a curated record
CAACAUCAACAUGGCCGUGGCUGUACCAGCUUGCAUAUUCGUGUGCACAGACGUUCCCGCUGGCGUGUGCGUGUCCCAGGGGCGUGCUGGAGGACAGGCGACAGACGCGAGGGAGGACCAAGAACCAGGAGUUUCCCUUCGUUCGUCCCAUCACGGCUUUGGUCUCGAGGGGAAAACGGCAACAGACGAGGGAACGAGGGAGUGAAGGUUGCAGUUCGAGACGCCGCUACUUCAAUCACUUCGAGAGAUUAACUUCGCUGGAUCGUGUGAGAAUGAUGCUUGAUGAAGUGGAAGCCAAACCGAAGUCACGGGCAAGAAUCGGGACUCGGGAAGGAGGUUGAGAAGGUCGAAGUCACCGCCGGGAGUUCGCGGCCGAAGAAUCGAACGUCAGAGAGAUGACCUUGAAUGGACGAGGGCUAGCAUGGGGGAGUCCUUCGCCCCCUCCUCAGCCUCCUUCAGCCUCCUCCUCCUCCUUUUUGCUGACCACGGAAAGGAGAGGAAAGAGCCAAGAGCCGAAGGAUACGCGAAAUGAAGAAAAAAAUUGAUUCUUGGUUUGAAGGAGGGAAAGGCAGUGGGAAGGAAGGAUUGAAGGACACGAAAAGAUGAAAACGGAUAAGAAAAAGCAUUAGUAGUUCGUUUAAAUGGGAAAAGGGGAUAAGAUUAGAGGAGAAAACAAUAUGUACUCAGUUUAAAUAGGGAAAGGACAUAGAAUAAUAAGAGAGAAAAUAAGUUGUACACAGUUUAGAAGGGAAAAGAGCAUAAUAUAAGAGAAAACAAUAUAAUAUACGUAAUUUGAAUAGGAAAAGAGUAUAAAAUUAGAAGAAAAUUAUAUAUACUAAAAGAAAAACAUAAAAAAGAAGAGAUGGACACACGAAAGUAUAAACAAACAAAAAAACUCAUCCCUUACUUAACACAUCCUAGUCAAUAACUUCUCUGUGACUCAUCUCCUCUUGUUUAUGUUGUUUAUUUGUUUGUUUAUUUAUUUAUUUAUUAAGUUCAGUGCCUCUCAUGCGCUAGUGAACACUCAAUUGUCUGUUAUUGCGUUAUAUCAUCUACGUUAUAAGGUUCAAUGCGUUACGAGAGCGUGUGACUAUAUAUAUAUCAGUGGUUGCUUGUCUGUCAUACGGUUUUGUGAUGUAACUGUGUGUGUGUGUGUGUGUGUGUGUGUAUGUAUGUAUGUAUGUAUGUGUGUGUGUGUGUGUGUAUGUGUGUGUGUGUGUGUGUGUGUGUGUGUGUGUGUGUGUCUGUGUGUGUGUGUGUGUGUGUGCGCGUAGGCCUACCCUUCUCACGUCCCCACACGAAGGAAUUUAUAAGCCUGUUACAUCACAGCGGUCAUUAUGCCUCACACCCGGAAGUCUUGAGUCCACGAAUUCCAAAGUUCAUUUACCUUUUUUUGCUCCUCUGCUCCCGUGCCCCACCCCCGCCCCGACCUUGCCCCUGCUGUCUAAUCCCAUUCCUCUCGAGUACCCCUUCCCUUCCCUUCCCAAAUCCCCAUUCCUCGCAUAGCUAACCCUCCCCUCUUCUCCCCAUUCUCUAGUCCCCUUCUUUACGCUUUCCAUGUUGUCAAACCCCCUCCUCUUCCCCCUUCGAAUCCCCCUUUCCAAAUCCCCAUUCCUCGCAUAGCUAACCCUCCCCUCUGCUCCUCAUUCUCUAGUCCCCGUCUUUACCUUUUCCCUGCUGUUAAAACCCCUCCCCUUCCCCUUCGAAUCCCCCGGCCCUUCCCUUCCCAAAUCCCCAAUUCCUCGCAUAGCUAACCCUCACCUCUUUUCCCCUUCUUUACGCUAUCCCUGCUGUCGAAACCCCUGCUGUCGAAACCCCUGCUUCCCUCUCCCCUAAUCCCCCAUUCCCCUCUCGAGUCCCCAUCCUUCUUCCCUCUCAUAGCUAAACCUGACCCUCUUUCCCACAUUCCUAGCUCGCCUUCCACUUCACCUUUUCACUCUGCUCUUGUCAAUACUCUACUCCCUUUUCUCCUUCGUUACCUUGUCUGUCUACCUCUAUCUCCUUCUCUUAGCUAAAUCUGCCCUCUCCUCACCUCUUUCAACAUUCUCAAGUCGCUUCCUCUUCACCUCUUAACCCUGCCCUUGUCAAUACUCUUCCGUCUAGUCUUUCUUCUACCAUUAUCUCUUUCUCUUAGUUAAGCCUCCGAAUCCCCUUUCCCUGUUCGCUAUCCACGGCCUAUCUCUUUCUCUUAGUUAGCCUCAAAAUCACUCCUCCCUGUUCGCUAUCCACGGCCUAUCUUUUUCUCUUAGUUAGCCUCAAAAUCACUCCUCCUUGUUGGCUAUCCACGGCCUCUUCCUCUUCUUUCCCCUUUGCCAUCUCACGUCCCUCGCUGCCAUGCUCCCGUCAGAAGCUCUCCCUUUCCCACCUCUUAGCUAGCCUGGCCACUCCCUUCGUCACUGUCAUCUCACUCCCACUUCACCUUGAUCCUAAACACCUACUGUCCGCCUCCUCCUCCUCCUUCUUAGCUUCUUGUUCUAACCUUGCCCUCUGCCCCUUGCCCAGUCCUCACGCACCUCCCUUCUUGCCCCACCCAGCUUCGUGCCCUCCAUCUUUCUCUUCUUGCCCUUUUCUCUUCCAUCUCUUUCUCUUGUUCCUCUUCUUUUACUUACUUCCUUUCCCCUUCAUCUCCUCCCAUAACCAUUCUCGUAUUCUCUUUGUCUUCCUCCUCCUCUUCCCCGACCCUAACCUUCCACCCCCACCCCACGCCAAGACCACCACUCCUCUAGCCUUGUACUAAAUCCCCACCCUUACUCACGCCCUCAUGUACUGCACCUCCCUCUGCCCUGCUUGUUGAGGGAGUGGAUCUGAGGGGUUUCGAGUGACAUCAUCCAUUCAUCGUUUGUCUUGGUGAUUAAAAUAUAAAGUAAAGUUCUGAGGCUUUAUUGAGAAUUUACGAAGUGUUAUUUACAAGUAUUUAAAGUUUAUUUUUUGUACAGGGGGGAGGUUUUUGUGCAGGGAGGUAAAUAUCUGGGGGUAUCUGAGAGAGAGAGAGAGAGAGAGAGAGAGAGAGAGAGAGAGAGAGAGAGAGAGAGAGAGAGAGAGAGAGAGAGAGAGAGAGAGAGAGAGAGAC